Molecule: long non-coding RNA, 430 nt
Filed under: Pogona vitticeps (central bearded dragon)
Lineage: Eukaryota; Metazoa; Chordata; Lepidosauria; Squamata; Agamidae
Description: lncRNA (ENSPVIG00000011601.1)
Source: RNAcentral
GAUUUUCUAUAUGCAGCUUGCACAGAUGCUCUGUGUGUGUAUGUUGGAAAGCUGUUUAACAUACCAAAUAGGAUGAGCUCUCAACUCAAAAGACAGGUUACCACCCCGCUAGGUGUGGAAGAUCUUUAUUCACUGCUUUAUGGGACACUUUUCCCCACCCUUUUUGGUAAACUAUCUAACUCAAUUGAAGGAGGAACAGAUGUCUGGUAGAAAAUCUCUGAUGUCUGGAUAGACAUUUUGCAGGACCUCCAAGGAUCUUUUGAGGACUGGGUCUAAAAAAGCAUGAAGCUAUAGAGACGUGUUCUUGAUGCACUAUAAUUGCUGACAUGUAUACUUCUAUGUAUACCUGACUAGAACUACUGGAGCCAGAAAGGAAAAUUUUGUUUUAUCAUGACAUUUGCUCAAUAAACAUUUCUUACAAUUCUCUUCA